Molecule: ribosomal RNA, 494 nt
Filed under: uncultured bacterium
Lineage: Bacteria
Description: partial 16S ribosomal RNA
Rfam family: Bacterial small subunit ribosomal RNA
Source: RNAcentral
GACGAACGCUGGCGGCGUGCUUAACACAUGCAAGUCGAACGGAAAGGCCUGCUUUCCCCUGUGGAUUGCGGGUACUCGAGUGGCGAACGGGUGAGUAACACGUGAGUGAUCUGCCCCCAACUUGGGUAUAAGCCUGGGAAACUGGGUCUAAUUCCCGAUAGGACUGCAGGGUGGUGCCUGUGGUGGAAAACGAUUUUCUAGUGGUUGGGGAUGAGCUCGCGGCCUAUCAGCUUGUUGGUGGGGUAAUGGCCUACCAAGGCGGCGACGGGUAGCCGGCCUGGGAGGGUGGACGGCCACAUUGGGACUGAGAUACGGCCCAGACUCCUACGGGAGGCAGCAGUGGGGAAUAUUGCACAAUGGGCGGAAGCCUGAUGCAGCGACGCCGCGUGGGGGAUGACGGCCUUCGGGUUGUAAACUCCUUUCGACCGCGAGGAAGCCACCUGGUUGGAAGGGUGGUGACGGUAGUGGUAGAAGAAGCACCGGCUAACUACGUG